This 360-nucleotide ribosomal RNA is filed under the name uncultured bacterium. RNAcentral's name for it is "bacterial SSU rRNA". It matches the Rfam family "Bacterial small subunit ribosomal RNA", at positions 355 to 732 of the family's 1533-position model. The record is from RNAcentral.
GGGAGAAUAUUGGACAAUGGGCGAAAGCCUGAUCCAGCAAUGCCGCGUGAGUGAUGAAGGCCUUAGGGUUGUAAAGCUCUUUUACCCGAGAUGAUAAUGACGGUAUCGGGAGAAUAAGCUCCGGCUAACUCCGUGCCAGCAGCCGCGGUAAUACGGAGGGAGCUAGCGUUGUUCGGAAUUACUGGGCGUAAAGCGCACGUAGGCGGCUUUUUAAGUCAGGGGUGAAAUCCCGGGGCUCGACCCCGGAACUGCCCUUGAAACUGGGAAGCUAGAAUCUUGGAGAGGCGAGUGGAAUUCCGAGUGUAGAGGUGAAAUUCGUAGAUAUUCGCAAGAACACCAGUGGCGAAGGCGGCUCACUGG